Molecule: ribosomal RNA, 468 nt
Filed under: uncultured bacterium
Lineage: Bacteria
Description: partial 16S ribosomal RNA
Rfam family: Bacterial small subunit ribosomal RNA
Source: RNAcentral
GACGAACGCUGGCGGCGUGCUUAACACAUGCCAGUCGAACGGAAAGGCCCUGCUGUUGUGGUGUGCUCGAGUGGCGAACGGGUGAGUAACACGUGAGUAACCUGCCCGUGACUUUGGGAUAACUUCAGGAAACUGGGGCUAAUAACGGAUAGGAGCGCCUGCUGCAUGGUGGGGGUUGGAAAGUUUCGGCGGUUGGGGAUGGACUCGCGGCUUAGCAGCUUGUGGGUGGGGUAGUGGCUUACCAAGGCUUUGACGGGUAGCCGGCCUGAGAGGGUGACCGGCCACAUUGGGACUGAGAUACGGCCCAGACUCCUACGGGAGGCAGCAGUGGGGAAUAUUGCACAAUGGGCGGAAGCCUGAUGCAGCAACGCCGCGUGCGGGAUGACGGCCUUCGGGUUGUAAACCGCUUUCGCCUGUGACGAAGCGUGAGUGACGGUAAUGGGUAAAGAAGCACCGGCUAACUACGUG